RNAcentral lists this ribosomal RNA (1033 nucleotides) under uncultured Neocallimastigales. RNAcentral describes it as "partial large subunit ribosomal RNA". The stretch from base 250 to 1033 matches the Rfam family "Eukaryotic large subunit ribosomal RNA", at positions 1 to 635 of the family's 3401-position model. The record is from RNAcentral. Lineage: Eukaryota; Fungi; Neocallimastigomycota; Neocallimastigomycetes; Neocallimastigales.
UAUGUGAUCGUCUCUCGCAUAUCAAUAAGCGGAGGAAAAGAGGGCUAUUACCUACGCUUAGGAUGUUGACGAGACUGUCGAUCUCAUCUAUACAUGACUCUGUGCAUAUCAAUAAGCGGAGGAAAAGAGGGCUAUUACCUACGCUUAGGAUGUUGACGAGACUGUCGAUCUCAUCUAUACAUGACUCUGCGCAUAUCAAUAAGCGGAGGAAAAGGAGUAUACCUACGCUUAGGAUGUUGACGAGACUGUCGAUCUCAUCUAAUACAUGACUCUGUGCAUAUCAAUAAGCGGAGGAAAAGAAACUAACAAGGAUUCCCCUAGUAACGGCGAGUGAAGCGGGAAGAGCUCAAAUUUGAAAUCUUAAAGGGUUUCCCUUUACGAAUUGUAGUUUAAAGAAGUGUUUUCUGUUGAGGUUUUGGUAAAAGUUCUUUGGAAUAGGACAUCAUAGAGGGUGAGAAUCCCGUAUUUGACCUUUACUUUCAACUUUGUGAUACACUUUCAAAGAGUCGGAUUGUUUGGGAAUGCAGUCCAAAAUGGGUGGUAAAUUUCAUCUAAAGCUAAAUAUUGGCGAGAGACCGAUAGCGAACAAGUACCGUGAGGGAAAGAUGAAAAGAACUUUGAAAAGAGAGUUAAACAGUACGUGAAAUUGUCAAAAGGGAAGCGUUUGACACCAGUGUUGUUUUUCUGAAAAUCAAUUAAAGAACUGUUUAUGCUAAGCUGUUUAGACUUUAUCAGCUAUCUGUUUAGUUUUGAGCUUUUCUUUAAUGCACUUUUCAGUUAACAAGUCAACAUCAAUUUCUUUUGCUGUAAAAAAGCUUGAGGAAGGUGGCUUGAGAUUCGUCUUAAGUGUUUAUAGCCUCUUGCCUAUGCAGUCGGAGAGAUUGAGGUCUGCAGCGUAGAUCCUUCGGGGCUAAAUGCAUUUGUGCUAAGUUAUAGCAUUUUAUAGACAACUUGUUGACUAUGAUUUGUCUUGUAGCUUACUCGCUUAUGUUAUUUUACCUACGCUUAGGAUGUUGAUCUACAGAGCGAGAGU